RNAcentral lists this long non-coding RNA (576 nucleotides) under Cottoperca gobio. Its description in RNAcentral is "lncRNA (ENSCGOG00000012474.1)". The stretch from base 221 to 314 matches the Rfam family "let-7 microRNA precursor family". Lineage: Eukaryota; Metazoa; Chordata; Actinopteri; Perciformes; Bovichtidae. The record is from RNAcentral.
GAGACCGCCGGCAGCCUAUCCACAUCGUGCCUUCAGUUGCCACGGUGACUGAAGCCUCUGUUGCCAUCGGUGACCAACAGUGUUCCAAAAUUACACUAGCUUCAUUUUGCUGGUUAUUUUCUGUCCCUGGUUGUUGACAAAUUGGACACAAAUCCACGGGAACUGCUUUGCUGUUGCUACGCUUCUGCGGCGUGCCGGGGCAGAUGUGUCUGUAGCUGUGCUGUGGUGAGGUAGUAAGUUGUGUUGUUGUGGGGUGUGGGAUAUUGUAACCCCUAUUUUGGAGAUACAACUGUACAACUUACUGCCUUCCACAACGUGGCAGUAACCUCCAGCUUCUGCAAUGUGUGCAGACAGGCCCUUGUAGAGUUGGUGCUCACUUUUCUACGCCCGCCACCCCAGCAUGCAUUGCGAUUCCACCGGAAGCCCGAAACUCCGAUUCCAUAUUUAAGUAUUAACCUUUAUCCUAUUCUUUUUCACUUUAUAUUGCGUUUUAUUUGAUUUGAUUUUUUUCCAAGUUUGUUUUAUUAUUUUUUAUUUAGUUUCAUGUCAUUAGAGUCCUGAUCCACAACCAAAGGU